RNAcentral lists this ribosomal RNA (497 nucleotides) under uncultured bacterium. RNAcentral describes it as "partial 16S ribosomal RNA". It matches the Rfam family "Bacterial small subunit ribosomal RNA", at positions 28 to 507 of the family's 1533-position model. The record is from RNAcentral.
GAUGAACGCUGGCGGCGUGCCUAAUACAUGCAAGUCGAGCGAACAGACGAGGAGCUUGCUCCUCUGACGUUAGCGGCGGACGGGUGAGUAACACGUGGAUAACCUACCUAUAAGACUGGGAUAACUUCGGGAAACCGGAGCUAAUACCGGAUAAUAUAUUGAACCGCAUGGUUCAAUAGUGAAAGACGGUUUUGCUGUCACUUAUAGAUGGAUCCGCGCCGCAUUAGCUAGUUGGUAAGGUAACGGCUUACCAAGGCGACGAUGCGUAGCCGACCUGAGAGGGUGAUCGGCCACACUGGAACUGAGACACGGUCCAGACUCCUACGGGAGGCAGCAGUAGGGAAUCUUCCGCAAUGGGCGAAAGCCUGACGGAGCAACGCCGCGUGAGUGAUGAAGGUCUUCGGAUCGUAAAACUCUGUUAUCAGGGAAGAACAAAUGUGUAAGUAACUAUGCACGUCUUGGCGGUACCUAAUCAGAAAGCCACGGCUAACUACGUG